CGGGAGGCAGCAGUGGGGAAUAUUGCACAAUGGGGGAAACCCUGAUGCAGCGACGCCGCGUGGAGGAAGAAGGUCUUCGGAUUGUAAACUCCUGUUGUUGAGGAAGAUAAUGACGGUACUCAACAAGGAAGUGACGGCUAACUACGUGCCAGCAGCCGCGGUAAAACGUAGGUCACAAGCGUUGUCCGGAAUUACUGGGUGUAAAGGGAGCGCAGGCGGGAAGACAAGUUGGAAGUGAAAUCCAUGGGCUCAACCCAUGAACUGCUUUCAAAACUGUUUUUCUUGAGUAGUGCAGAGGUAGGCGGAAUUCCCGGUGUAGCGGUGGAAUGCGUAGAUAUCGGGAGGA
This 346-nucleotide ribosomal RNA is filed under the name uncultured bacterium. RNAcentral's name for it is "bacterial SSU rRNA". It matches the Rfam family "Bacterial small subunit ribosomal RNA", at positions 342 to 705 of the family's 1533-position model. The record is from RNAcentral.